UACGGAGGAUCCGAGCGUUAUCCGGAUUUAUUGGGUUUAAAGGGUGCGUAGGCGGAAAUGUAAGUCAGUGGUGAAAUCCUGCAGCUUAACUGUAGAAUAGCCGUUGAAACUGUGUUUCUUGAGUACAUUUGAGGUAGGCGGAAUGUGGUGUGUAGCGGUGAAAUGCAUAGAUAUACCACAGAACACCGAUUGCGAAGGCAGCUUACUAAGCCAAGAUUGACGCUGAGGCACGAAAGUGUGGGGAUCAAACAGGAUUAGAUA
This 261-nucleotide ribosomal RNA is filed under the name uncultured prokaryote. Its description in RNAcentral is "partial 16S ribosomal RNA". It matches the Rfam family "Bacterial small subunit ribosomal RNA", at positions 524 to 784 of the family's 1533-position model. The record is from RNAcentral.